Molecule: ribosomal RNA, 478 nt
Filed under: uncultured bacterium
Lineage: Bacteria
Description: partial 16S ribosomal RNA
Rfam family: Bacterial small subunit ribosomal RNA
Source: RNAcentral
GACGAACGCUGGCGGCGUGCUUAACACAUGCAAGUCGAACGGUAAGGCCCUUCGGGGUACACGAGUGGCGAACGGGUGAGUAACACGUGGGUGAUCUGCCCUGCACUUCGGGAUAAGCCUGGGAAACUGGGUCUAAUGCCGGAUAGGACCCUGGGAAGCAUGUCCUGGGGUGGAAAGCUUUUGCGGUGUGGGAUGGGCCCGCGGCCUAUCAGCGUGUUGGUGGGGUGAUGGCCUACCAAGGCGACGACGGGUAGCCGGCCUGAGAGGGUGACCGGCCACACUGGGACUGAGAUACGGCCCAGACUCCUACGGGAGGCAGCAGUGGGGAAUAUUGCACAAUGGGCGCAAGCCUGAUGCAGCGACGCCGCGUGAGGGAUGACGGCCUUCGGGUUGUAAACCUCUUUCAGCACCGACGAAGCGCAAGUGACGGUAGGUGCAGAAGAAGGACCGGCCAACUACGUGCCAGCCGCCGCCGUAA